Molecule: unclassified non-coding RNA, 25 nt
Filed under: Mus musculus (house mouse)
Lineage: Eukaryota; Metazoa; Chordata; Mammalia; Rodentia; Muridae
Description: oocyte_clustered_small_RNA9411
Source: RNAcentral
AAUGCACAGAUGCAGGUUAUGGGGU